RNAcentral lists this ribosomal RNA (492 nucleotides) under uncultured bacterium. RNAcentral describes it as "partial 16S ribosomal RNA". It matches the Rfam family "Bacterial small subunit ribosomal RNA", at positions 29 to 507 of the family's 1533-position model. The record is from RNAcentral.
AUUGAACGCUGGCGGCAUGCUUUACACAUGCAAGUCGAACGGUAACAGGCCUUCGGGUGCUGACGAGUGGCGAACGGGUGCGUAAUGCAUCGGAACGUACCCAGAGGUGGGGGAUAACGCAGCGAAAGCUGUGCUAAUACCGCAUGUGAUCUGAGGAUGAAAGCGGGGGACCGAGCAGCAAUGUUUGGCCUCGCGCCUUUGGAGCGGCCGAUGUCGGAUUAGCUAGUUGGUGGGGUAAAGGCCUACCAAGGCGACGAUCCGUAGCUGGUCUGAGAGGACGACCAGCCACACUGGGACUGAGACAAGGCCCAGACUCCUACGGGAGGCAGCAGUGGGGAAUUUUGGACAAUGGGCGCAAGCCUGAUCCAGCAAUGCCGCGUGCGGGAAGAAGGCCUUCGGGUUGUAAACCGCUUUUGGCAGGAACGAAACGGUGUCCGCUAAUACCGGGCGCUAAUGACGGUACCUGCAGAAUAAGCACCGGCUAACUACGUG